AGAUGGCGACCGGCGCACGGGUGAGUAACGCGUAUCCAACCUGCCGAUAACUCGGGGAUAGCCUUUCGAAAGAAAGAUUAAUACCCGAUGGUAUAAUCAGACCGCAUGGUCUUGUUAUUAAAGAAUUUCGGUUAUCGAUGGGGAUGCGUUCCAUUAGGCAGUUGGUGAGGUAACGGCUCACCAAACCUUCGAUGGAUAGGGGUUCUGAGAGGAAGGUCCCCCACAUUGGAACUGAGACACGGUCCAA
RNAcentral lists this ribosomal RNA (247 nucleotides) under uncultured bacterium. Its description in RNAcentral is "partial 16S ribosomal RNA". It matches the Rfam family "Bacterial small subunit ribosomal RNA", at positions 86 to 334 of the family's 1533-position model. The record is from RNAcentral.